CGGUGUCGGUGAUGUCACCAAACCUACAUUGUUUGACUCACGCUGAGAAAAACCAAACCCUGAGACACCA
RNAcentral lists this small nucleolar RNA (70 nucleotides) under Serinus canaria (Common canary). RNAcentral describes it as "Small nucleolar RNA SNORD34 (ENSSCAG00000000101.1)". It matches the Rfam family "Small nucleolar RNA SNORD34". From Rfam's summary of the family: snoRNA U34 is found in intron 5 of the ribosomal protein L13a gene in humans. Lineage: Eukaryota; Metazoa; Chordata; Aves; Passeriformes; Fringillidae. The record is from Rfam by way of RNAcentral.